This 464-nucleotide ribosomal RNA is filed under the name uncultured bacterium. RNAcentral's name for it is "bacterial SSU rRNA". It matches the Rfam family "Bacterial small subunit ribosomal RNA", at positions 338 to 795 of the family's 1533-position model. The record is from RNAcentral.
CCUANGGGUGGCUGCAGUCGAGAAUUUUUCACAAUGGGCGAAAGCCUGAUGGAGCGACGCCGCGUGGGGGAUGAAUGGCUUCGGCCCGUAAACCCCUGUCAUUCGCGAUCAAACCUUAUCAUUUAAAAGAUGAUGAGCUGAUAGUAGCGGAAGAGGAAGGGACGGCUAACUCUGUGCCAGCAGCCGCGGUAAUACAGAGGUCUCAAGCGUUGUUCGGAUUCAUUGGGCGUAAAGGGUGCGUAGGUGGCGGGGUUAGUCAGGUGUGAAAUCUCGGGGCUCAACCCCGAAACUGCACUUGAUACUGCCUUGCUAGAGUACUGGAGAGGAGAUUGGAAUUUACGGUGUAGCAGUGAAAUGCGUAGAUAUCGUAAGGAAGACCAGUGGCGAAGGCGAAUCUCUGGACAGUUACUGACACUGAGGCACGAAGGCCAGGGGAGCAAACGGGAUUAGAUACCCCANUANUC